This 494-nucleotide ribosomal RNA is filed under the name uncultured bacterium. Its description in RNAcentral is "partial 16S ribosomal RNA". It matches the Rfam family "Bacterial small subunit ribosomal RNA", at positions 28 to 507 of the family's 1533-position model. The record is from RNAcentral.
GACGAACGCUGGCGGCGUGCUUAACACAUGCAAGUCGAACGGUGAAGCGCCUUCCUUUUUGGUGGGUGUGGAUGAGUGGCGAACGGGUGAGUAAAACGUGAGUAACCUGCCCCCUUCUUCUGGAUAACCGCAUGAAAGUGUGGCUAAUACGGGAUAUUCUGGGUCUGUCGCAUGAUGGGUCUGGGAAAGAUAUUGUUUCGGUGGGGGAUGGGCUCGCGGCCUAUCAGCUUGUUGGUGGGGUGAUGGCCUACCAAGGCGGUGACGGGUAGCCGGCCUGAGAGGGUGCACGGUCACACUGGGACUGAGACACGGCCCAGACUCCUACGGGCGGCAGCAGUGGGGAUUAUUGCACAAUGGGCGCAAGCCUGAUGCAGCGACGCCGCGUGAGGGAUGGAGGCCUUCGGGUUGUGAACCUCUUUCGCCAGUGAAGCAGGCCUGCCUCGUUUGUGGGUGGGUUGACGGUAGCUGGAUAAGAAGCGCCGGCUAACUACGUG